RNAcentral lists this ribosomal RNA (560 nucleotides) under uncultured dinoflagellate. RNAcentral's name for it is "bacterial SSU rRNA". It matches the Rfam family "Eukaryotic small subunit ribosomal RNA", at positions 496 to 1063 of the family's 1831-position model. Lineage: Eukaryota; Dinophyceae. The record is from RNAcentral.
UCAGGUCUAGUAAUUGGAAUGAGAACAAUUUAAAAUCCUUACCGAGUAUCAAUUGGAGGGCAAGUCUGGUGCCAGCAGCCGCGGUAAUUCCAGCUCCAAUAGCGUAUAUUAAAGUUGUUGCGGUUAAAAAGCUCGUAGUUGGAUUCCUGUAUGGAAGGGGCGUCCCCACCCUUUGGAUGGGGGUUGCUACCUUCUUUGCAUCUUCUUGAGUAGAUGUUCCUCGCUUAACUGUGAGGACAUCGUGCUCGGGACAUUUACUUUGAGGAAAAGAGAGUGCUCCAAGCAGGCAAACGCCUGAAUACGUUAGCAUGGAAUAAUAGCAUCGGAUCAUCGUACAGCUGUUGGUGUCUGGACGAGGAUAAAGGUGAACAGGGAUUGUUGGGGGCAUUCGUAUUUAACUGUCAGAGGUGAAAUUCUUGGAUUUGUUGAAGACGAGCUACUGCGAAAGCAUUUGCCAAAGAUGUUCUCAUUGAUCAAGAACGAAAGUUAGGUGAUCGAAGACGAUCAGAUACCGUCCUAGUCUUAACCAUAAACUAUGCCAACUGGAGAUGGGACGUGUU